This 386-nucleotide unclassified non-coding RNA is filed under the name uncultured Alphaproteobacteria bacterium. Its description in RNAcentral is "contains 16S-23S intergenic spacer region". Lineage: Bacteria; Pseudomonadati; Pseudomonadota; Alphaproteobacteria. The record is from RNAcentral.
UCCCCGUUGUAGCGAGGCAGUCCGUCCAGAGUGCUCCCUACUCUCGUAGGGUUGGCAACUGGACGCAAGGGUUGCGCUCGUUGCGGGACUUAACCCAACAUCUCACGACACGAGCUGAAGUCAGCCAUGCAGCACCUGUCACUCAUCCAGCCGAACUGAAGGAAACCAUCUCUGGAAUCCGCGAUGAGGAUGUCAAACGCUGGUAAGGUUCUGCGCGUUGCUUCGAAUUAAUCCACAUCAUCCACCGCUUGUGCGGGUCCCCGUCAAUUCCUUUGAGUUUUAAUCUUGCGACCGUACUCCCCAGGCGGAAUGCUUAAUCCGUUAGGUGUGACACCGAAGGGCAAGCCCCCCGACGUCUGGCAUUCAUCGUUUACGGCGUGGACUAC